UAAGGAAUAUUGCGCAAUGGGCGAAAGCCUGACGGAGCGACACCGCGUGCAGGACGAAGGCCCUCGGGUUGUAAACUGCUGUCACGCUCUAGGAAUCCCGUGUUGUGAAUAGCAGCACGGUUGACUAAGGCGAGAGGAAGUGGCGGCUAACUCUGUGCCAGCAGCCGCGGUAAGACAGAGGCCACGAACGUUGUUCGGAAUCACUGGGCAUAAAGCGCACGUAGGCGGCUAGGUCCGUCCGAUGUGAAAGCCCCCGGCUCAACCGGGGAAUAGCAUCGGAUACAGCCUGGCUUGAGGACGGUUGGGGUGAGUGGAACUCCUGGUGGAGCGGUGAAAUGCGUAGAUAUCAGGAGGAACACCGGUGGCGAAAGCGGCUCACUGGACCGUUACUGACGCUGAGGUGCGAAAGCUAGGGGAGCAAACAGGAUUAGAUACCCAUGUAGUCCCUGAGCGGGCUGGCAAGGCGCAU
RNAcentral lists this ribosomal RNA (469 nucleotides) under uncultured bacterium. RNAcentral's name for it is "bacterial SSU rRNA". It matches the Rfam family "Bacterial small subunit ribosomal RNA", at positions 355 to 825 of the family's 1533-position model. The record is from RNAcentral.